AGGUCAAGUGAAGAAGGGCGCACGGUGAAUGCCUUGGCACUGGAAGCCGAUGAAGGACGCGACUAACCGCGAAAGUCUUCGGGGAGCCGUAAGUAGGCUUUGAUCCGGAGGUCUCCGAAUGGGGGAACCCAGCAUGUGCAGACAUGCUAUCCUUAAGUGAAUACAUAGCUUAAGGAGGGAACACGCAGUGAACUGAAACAUCUAAGUAGCUGCAGGAAGAGAAAGAAAUAUCGAUUUCCCAAGUAGCGGCGAGCGAACAGGAAAGAGCCCAAACCGGCAGAUUUAUCUGCCGGGGUUGUAGGACUGAGACAUGGCACUUCAGAGGAUAGCAGAAGCGUUUGGGAAAGCGCGCCAGAGAGGGUGAGAGCCCCGUAAGCGAAAUCCAAAGGAGGCCUAUCAGUAUCCUGAGUAGGGCGGGACACGUGAAAUCCCGUUUGAAUCCGCGAGGACCAUCUCGCAAGGCUAAAUACUAACCAGUGACCGAUAGUGAACCAGUACCGUGAGGGAAAGGUGAAAAGAACCCCGGGAGGGGAGUGAAAGAGAACCUGAAACCGUGUGCCUACAAGUAGUCAGAGCCCGUUAACGGGUAAUGGCGUGCCUUUUGUAGAAUGAACCGGCGAGUUGCGUUAGUCAGCAAGGUUAAGUCAGAAAAGACGGAGCCGUAGCGAAAGCGAGUCUGAAGAGGGCGAGUAGUUGGCUGACGCAGACCCGAAACCAAGUGACCUACCCAUGACCAGGUUGAAGGCA
Molecule: ribosomal RNA, 747 nt
Filed under: Lactobacillus delbrueckii subsp. bulgaricus
Lineage: Bacteria; Bacillati; Bacillota; Bacilli; Lactobacillales; Lactobacillaceae
Description: partial 23S ribosomal RNA
Rfam family: Bacterial large subunit ribosomal RNA
Source: RNAcentral